GCUUUCGUAGUUCAGUUGCUUAGACCACCCGCUUAGUAAGCGGAGGUCGUGAAUUCGACUCUCCUGAAAGCA
This 72-nucleotide transfer RNA is filed under the name Nicotiana attenuata. It matches the Rfam family "tRNA". From Rfam's summary of the family: Transfer RNA (tRNA) molecules are approximately 80 nucleotides in length. The record is from Rfam by way of RNAcentral. Lineage: Eukaryota; Viridiplantae; Streptophyta; Magnoliopsida; Solanales; Solanaceae.